This is a long non-coding RNA of Lepidothrix coronata (blue-crowned manakin), 1629 nucleotides long. RefSeq lists it as uncharacterized. Lineage: Eukaryota; Metazoa; Chordata; Aves; Passeriformes; Pipridae. The transcript is spliced from 3 exons. The record is from RefSeq and is a predicted model, not a curated record.
CCGGGGGAGUCUCGGGCGGCGGUGUCCUUGAAAUUAACUGGAACAUCGAAGGAAAAAAAAAAAAUCUGAGAUUUAUUUAGAGGCAGGAGUCUAAAAAUGUCGCAGCGGCGUCUGGAGCCGGGCUGUGAAGGGACCGGGUGUGCGGGACCGGGGCGCUGCCGGCGAAGGAGGGGGAUUGUAAAACGUGGGGUUUGGCACAGCUUGUGUGACGUCCCGUUAUUUUGCUGCCCCGGUUUUAGUGUGGUUAAUUAUGAGUAACACCAGUGAAAUCCAUGAGACCCGUGUUCACCUAGAGACACUGGAGAACAGGAAACGAGUGAAGGAGCCGGUGCUGCGCAACAACACAUGAUCCCAGUUCCUCUUCACCAUUAAAACCUCGCCUGUAACAUGGGAUUAUGAAGAUGGCUGUUGCGUUGCAGAGCAAGAUCUCAUCUUGCAAACAGAUGACACGAACAGAGAACUUGCACAGGCCAUGCCUGCCUUCUGUGCUACUCCAUCCACAUCAGCAGGAUCCCUAUGUCUGAGCAGGCCGAGACUGAGCUCCAAGGCAGCAGCACCACCUGACCAUGGACUGCAGCGGGUUUGGAGGCUGCCAUGGUGAGCAAGGGGAAGAGGCAGCAGGAAUAAAGCAAACUCCAAAAUGACAGUUUUACUGGCCUGGGACUAAAAUCUUCAGCAUAAUUAGAGAAAAGACAAGUACAGAAAGCAAAGUAUAUCUUGGCAAAUAAACACUUGUACCUGCUGGUACAACAUGUGGUGUUCUGCACAGGCAGCUGGGGACAGACAACAGGGAACAUCACUGGAACCAAAGUGGGAAGGUGAGCCGGGAACUAGUGCAUGAAUCUGAGAAUCACGAUUCUGAUGGCAACAUGCAAUUACUACCUGGCAGCAGCCAGAGUGAGCCCAGCUCUCCCACCGAGAGCAGAGAGGCAGCAGAGCCAACUGAGACAGAUCCUGCCAUGCAGCUCUCUGUACCACAGCCAGGAAGGGAUUAGCCUUUACUCUUGCUGUAAUGCCUCCAGUUAUUACAGCUAAGAUUUGGUACUACAUAUGCAAUUAUUAUAACACAGAUACACUUUGCAAUCUACCUUCCCACAGAUUUAGAGGCUUUUAAGACAGUGAUAAUCCUUUCUGUCAAUAUCUUAAUUAACACUUCACUAGUUGAUUAGCUUGUAAUGUAUUUUACCUAGUUCUCUAACCCAGUUCUAAAAUAUAUUAUUAGCACUUUGAAAAUAAUAAAGUAACAGCUAAACUUUCAAAGUCAAUAUUAACAUCUCUAUAUGGAAAUUUAGUUCAAAUAAUUGCUGUAUUUUUGAGAAAGCAAGGGGUACUGUCCAGAGUGAUGUCAUUUUACUCUUACUCCAUAAAUACACAGUUCCUGCUCAAGUAAAUUAAUUUACUACCUCUCAAAAAAAAUACAAUCUUCAAAUACAGACAUAAUGUUUUACAGCUGACAACUUCUGAGUAAUUACAAAAAUCAGUGUUUAUUUACAGACUACAAUUCAAAUACUUUCAUUAUAUUAUUCUACCAGGUGCAUUUCAGCUGCCUUGCCAUUUUUCCAUUUUUUUGUUUGGUUGGGUUUUUCUUUUUGUUCUUAUUGUUCAAUACAUUUUUAGUCCUAUUUAAAA